UCGUGCUAGGCGGGGAGCUAGUGGUUCCCUGUAACCUGAAAUCCACUUUAUGCAGGGUCAAAUGCCGUAGGAAGGGUUUUGCUGAAUUACAAUUUUUUUAUAAGCGGUGUUGACCUUAUCAGCUUUACGCAAUAUAUGGUAGUUAAACCCCGUCAGAUUCGGAAGGAAGCAGCGGUAGAUUAUUUGUAUAUGUGCCGUGAAAUCCUGAUAAAUAGCUGGCUAUCUUUAGAUUGGACUAAACAGAAAGCUCAACCUACGGUGCACGA
This 266-nucleotide signal recognition particle RNA is filed under the name Fidelibacterota bacterium. RNAcentral's name for it is "signal recognition particle sRNA large type". It matches the Rfam family "Bacterial large signal recognition particle RNA". Rfam says of the family: The signal recognition particle (SRP) is a universally conserved ribonucleoprotein involved in the co-translational targeting of proteins to membranes. The record is from RNAcentral. Lineage: Bacteria; Pseudomonadati; Fidelibacterota.